UAUUGGUCAAUGGACGCGAGUCUGAACCAGCCAAGUAGCGUGAAGGAUGACUGCCCUAUGGGUUGUAAACUUCUUUUAUAUGGGAAUACAGUUUUGCACGUGUGGAAUUUUGUAUGUACCAUAUGAAUAAGGAUCGGAUAACUCCGUGACAGCAGCCGCGGUAAUACGGAGGAUCCGAGCGUUAGCCGGAUUUAUUGGGUUUAAAGGGAGCGUAAGGGGACAGUUAAGUCAGUUGUGAAAGUUUGCGGCUCAACCGUAAAAUUGCAGUUGAAACUGGCAGUCUUGAGUACAGUAGAGGUGGGCGGAAUUCGUGGUGUAGCGGUGAAAUGCUUAGAUAUCACGAAGAACUCCGAUUGCGAAGGCAGCUCACUGGACUGUUGACUGACACUGAGGCUCGAAAGUGUGGGUAUCAAACAG
This 417-nucleotide ribosomal RNA is filed under the name uncultured bacterium. Its description in RNAcentral is "bacterial SSU rRNA". It matches the Rfam family "Bacterial small subunit ribosomal RNA", at positions 362 to 775 of the family's 1533-position model. The record is from RNAcentral.